RNAcentral lists this unclassified non-coding RNA (253 nucleotides) under uncultured bacterium. RNAcentral describes it as "contains 16S-23S intergenic spacer region". It matches the Rfam family "Bacterial small subunit ribosomal RNA", at positions 524 to 776 of the family's 1533-position model. The record is from RNAcentral.
GACGGAAGGUGCGAGCGUUGUUCGGAUUUACUGGGCGUAAAGGGUGUGUAGGCGGCCCGGCCAGCGGGAAGUGAAAUCCCGGGGUUCAACUCCGGAAUGGCUUUCCGAACUGCCGGGCUCGAGUCCGGGAGAGGGGGGUGGAAUUCCUGGUGGAGCGGUGAAAUGCGUAGAUAUCAGGAGGAACACCGGUGGCGAAGGCGGCCCCCUGGAACGUGACUGACGCUGAGACACGAAAGCGUGGGGAGCGAACAGG